UGGGGAAUCUUGGACAAUGGGCGCAAGCCUGAUCCAGCCAUGCCGCGUGAGCGAUGAAGGCCUUAGGGUUGUAAAGCUCUUUCACCGGUGAAGAUAAUGACGGUACCUAGUAAAGAAGUCCCGGCUAACUCCGUGCCAGCAGCCGCGGUAAUACGGAGGGGACUAGCGUUGUUCGGAAUUACUGGGCGUAAAGCGCACGUAGGCGGACCAGAAAGUUGGGGGUGAAAUCCCGGGGGCUCAACCCCGGAACUGCCUCCAAAACUAUUGGUCUAGAGUUCGAGAGAGGUGAGUGGAAUUCCAAGUGUAGAGGUGAAAUUCGUAGAUAUUUGGAGGAACACCAGUGGCGAAGGCGGCUCACUGGCUCGAUACUGACGCUGAGGUGCGAAAGUGUGGGGAGCAAACAGGAUUAGAUACCCUGGUAGUCCACGCCGUAAACGAUGUCAACUAGCCGUUGGGGAACUUGAUUCUUUAGUGGCGCAGCUAACGCGAUAAGUUG
RNAcentral lists this ribosomal RNA (496 nucleotides) under uncultured bacterium. RNAcentral describes it as "bacterial SSU rRNA". It matches the Rfam family "Bacterial small subunit ribosomal RNA", at positions 355 to 867 of the family's 1533-position model. The record is from RNAcentral.